Molecule: ribosomal RNA, 495 nt
Filed under: uncultured bacterium
Lineage: Bacteria
Description: partial 16S ribosomal RNA
Rfam family: Bacterial small subunit ribosomal RNA
Source: RNAcentral
GACGAACGCUGGCGGCGUGCCUAAUACAUGCAAGUAGAACGCUGAAGGAGGAGCUUGCUUCUCUGGAUGAGUUGCGAACGGGUGAGUAACGCGUAGGUAACCUGCCUGGUAGCGGGGGAUAACUAUUGGAAACGAUAGCUAAUACCGCAUAAUAGCAGUUGUUGCAUGAUAACUGUUUGAAAGGUGCAAUUGCACCACUACCAGAUGGACCUGCGUUGUAUUAGCUAGUUGGUGGGGUAACGGCUCACCAAGGCGACGAUACAUAGCCGACCUGAGAGGGUGAUCGGCCACACUGGGACUGAGACACGGCCCAGACUCCUACGGGAGGCAGCAGUAGGGAAUCUUCGGCAAUGGACGGAAGUCUGACCGAGCAACGCCGCGGGAGUGAAGAAGGUUUUCGGAUCGUAAAGCUCUGUUGUAAGAGAAGAACGAGUGUGAGAGUGGAAAGUUCACACUGUGACGGUAGCUUACCAGAAAGGGACGGCUAACUACGUG